CUCCCAAUUUUGCUGGAAAGCAAAAUUUGACCUCACAAGAGGCUUAAACAUGAGCAAUUGUUGGACAAGGAAUUUUGAGUCAGAACUUUUGAAACUUUGUUUUAUAACUUUGUUAUAUCCUCUAACCUCCUCCUGACAAAGACUUGGGAGAAUUUUUCCAGAUGGAAGAUUGAGCACUCUAACUCUUAUUUUAGGGUUUAAGAUGUUCUCUCCUCAAUCUUCCAGCAAAACCAAGGAAGUUGAAACUUAAUGUUCUUGAUAUCUCUAAGGAAGCAGGAGCAAACAGUAUUUUUUUUUAAAUGCACUUGCUUUCAGUUCCCUUUCAGGUUUCUAUUAAUCUGAGUUGCUUUGUCACGUGGAAUAGAAUGAUUCCACUUAGAUUCAGUGUAGCUGUUGUAUUUGCUAUUUAUGUGGUGGAGAGGGAGUUUCCUGAUGGAAUACAGAAGUGCUGACCUGAAGAUUUCCAAUUUGUCCAUGCCAAUGGGUUAUCUCAGCUCUGAUUUGACCAGCGCAAAACUUUACUUUUCAUGCAAGUUUCAAUGCUGCUUUUCCUUUCUUCCUCCUUCUACCCCAACAAGCCAUAUGAUUUUUAGGAAUUUAUUCUACCCUUCUUCUUUGGACAGAGCUUCCAUGAUGUCAGUAAAAAUACACACACAAACUCAUUGGAAGAGGAAUGUUUGUCAAAACUCUUGCUUCAACCAUUUUCUAAGGUGUGCUUUUAUCAGCAGGUGCAGUUUGCCCCACUUAAAUUCUUGCCAUCUGAAAUGGCCAUGAGCAGGAGAUUCUGCUCAAAACAGUGGCAAUGUUUUCUUUAUGAAAUACAGAAUUUAUACUUGACUCUAUUGCAUAGGUUGCGUAGAGAAGUGAAUUGCUCACUUCUGAAGUCCGUUUUGUCAUGACAGACAUUAAAGAUAUUUCCCUGUUGGAAUGGAGGGCCCUUCCCCAGCUGUACUUUAGUUGUAAAUUUGUCUGUUUUUUGUGGUUGUGCUCUGAAAUUGGAACUGAGCUUUUGAAUUUUGUUCCAGUAAUUUCUCAGGCCACUGUACAGUGUUGUAUAGACUACAAGCUCUCUUACCUUCAUAAUGGGUAUGUCAGAGUCACCGACUGGAUACAUUGUAAACUGACUUAAUGAAAGACAUUGCUAGUUAACUGAAGAUUUUGCUCUGGUAAGCAACUAUAGCAUAUUUGCGUUUUCAGGAGGCUGGACUUGAUUGGCUAGUAUGUGUUUCUUGGCUCUGGGAUUGAUUAGUUUUCUUUCCUUAACACUUGUUGCUUACCUGUUUUUACUACUUGUUCAUUUCCUUGUGUUAGCUUCUAAUUAACUUGUUGGUAUGAGACUUUCCCCUGGAGUUUGCUUUGACAAAGGUUUUUCGAGGAUAAGAUUGAGUUGACUUUGGCAGAGUGUCAAAUGUAAGUAACCCCUCCCCCCACACACCUGCAGGUAAAUAGCCUCUGUUGUUGAAUCCUGUUUGUUCUUGUUCUCCUCAGAAGCUCUGCCUUUUUUAUCCCUUUGUUAUAUUAGAAAGUGCUUUAAUGGCAAAUAUAAUGGUCACAAGUUCCUAACGGUUAUAAGUAAUCGGGACAUCCAGGUAUGGCCUCAUGCAUAAUAAGGGGUUCUGUUAAAAUAAAGCUGAAAUGUUGAUCAUUGUAUAGUAAAUAACACUCUUCCAGAGAACUUUGCCAAAUUGCUGCACUUGAGGAAGGGGAGGCAGCUCAGUUAUUGAGGGGAUGUUAUAAUGGCCAUCUUAAUUUUAAAAAUUCAACUUAUUUUAGCAAGUGGUGAUUCAUCAUGGAACCUUUCCAGUUGCCUGAGAAACUCUCAUACUCUUUUCUUACCAUUAAGCAGCAAGCUGAUGGUAAAAGGUGAAGUGCAACCACCGGUUCACGUACCUGUUCCCAUAAAAUUAAGUGUACACAAAGUGCUAGAUGGAACUGUAAUAGUUUAUGAAUGCUACAAUUAUUUGUAGUGGUAAUGGACAAGAAGUCUUCCUUCAUUACCCUGAGUAUAAGUAAGAAUGUAACUUGCAAUGUAAAACAUGUUUGUAAAUUUUGUAAUUGAGCAGUAUGAUUGGAAGCUGACUUAAGUUGUGUUAAGGUACAUUUUUGAUGGUCUGUCAGUGUGUAAUCAUGAACUGAAUAUUUUUUAUUGAUUUAGGGUGUAUGUUUAACAUUCCAUUUAUGUAAAAUAUGUACAAAUAUAUGUGUAAUAAAUCUUUUGAAGCACAGUUUGCCAUGAUUCCAGGUGACUUCAGUAUUACUGCAAAGAAAAAUGCUGUAGAUUGGGCAGAGUUGUUGUCUCUGUUCUCUGAGAGACUAUUGAAACACCAGAAAUAAAGAACCAACAGCAACGUGGAGGAACAAUUCCGAGAAAAGCUUGUUGGCUCUGCUGACCAAUGCUGGCUCCCCAUAUGGUCCCUUUGGAUCCUGCACUAUGCAGAAGAUGUAGAACAGGCUUAAUUUGCCAGCUGAAGAUUGAGCUGACACUAUGCCACCUCCAGUGAAAUGUGCAGGGCUAAGGGAAAGACAUGAGGGGAGUGGCAUUACCCUCUGGGAGUAGUACAAGUUGGAGCAGCCCUGAGACCUAUUGUCCAAUCUCUGAAAAAUGGAGGUGUGAAGUGGUGGGAGGUGCUAAAUUGGCAGAAACUCUCUUUUAUGGUGAAGCAUGGUGUGUUAGUACUUCGUUCAAUUUGAACUCUUUGUGAAACAACCACUCUGUUUCUCUUCAAAAUGUAAUGGUUCAUUGAUUUGUCCAUCUCUCAGCUGUGAGUGGAUUUCCUUAUUGCUCCAGAUGGUUGCCAGUGCCCCACAUCUGCCUCUAGGUUAAAUGCUGGUGGGAAAGCUUCCUUGGAGACCUGUUUGUUUCUAAAGGAGCUGAUGGCUAGACAGGGCUGCAGAAGAAGCAGAUGCUGGCAAAGCAGUGUGUAAACGGGCUCUCUGGUGAGGGUAGAGCAAUUUGUACAGGCUUUUGCUAAGCGUGUGCUUUCUCCCCCUCCAUUCUGGACGCAUGGAAAGAGGGCUUUAUUAUGGAAGCAGUUGAUAUUUAGGACAACAAUGUCUGCUCUAGCAACAGGAAUUCGGCUGGAAAUUAUUCCAAUCCACCAGGGUUUCAAGAGUGGAAGGUGCCCAGGCUUACCCAGCCAGGGAGCUCAAACUCAGUCAGCCUAAAACCAAGGAAUUAUUCUAGUGCCUAUAGCUCUGUCUGGAUCCUCAGUCUGCUUGGAGCGUAGAAAUCUGACAUCAGGAAUAGACCUCCUGCUCCAAAUACAUGUUUUAGAAAACGGAACCCUUCCUAGUGGGGGGGCUGAGACUGUCCAGACGCAUGCCUGCUGCCCCGAGGAAGCUAACAGACAGCAGCAGCGCAACGAUCAGCUGAAACAGUCUCAGAGUGCAGCAGGCUGUAGUCCUACCAAAAGCACAUUUUCAUCUACCAUUGGUCUAUUUCUUUUACAUCCCCUACAGUGAUAGGUAACCCACUCUUGUGCUGCUCCUUUCCUCUCAGGGAAUGUGUGUUUUGUUGUUACUGUCUGCAGGUACUUUCCAUGCUACUGUAGCUUCAGUGCCUUAUCUGGAUUAUAAAAGCACUCCUUAAAUGCUUUUGCCUCUGGCUCAAGGUUUUAUGAACAGCAGGGGAUGUUGAGUGUCAAAGUCUAGCUCAGGUAACUGCAGUGAUGAACAUGGGAUAGAAAUGGGCUCUCUGCCUUUAGCAGUCUGUAAAAUUAAUGAGUUGGCACUGGAUGGUGGGGGAUAUGAUGAUGUGUAACAUGGCCAAAGGAUGCACACAGUCACUUUAGGAGUAAUACUAGGAACAGAAUCAAACUGUUGAAGAUCCGUGUCCGUUUCACGCAUGCUAGAGAAGUGGUGUGUACUGGGGCUCGGGGCAAUGCUCUGGGCCUAAUAUACACUGGCUUUUAGAAAGUCCUCGAGGCUUCUCACCCCUGCAUUGUUGUCGUCCUAGCAAUUAUCAGUAUCAAUGAGUGAACCUAUUGGACAUCAUUGCUGCAGUUCGCAACACAUCCUGACCUUCUAUUACGAAUCAACUAUUAAACACUUGUUUAAAAGGAAUUUGUUGAUACUUACGUCAGCCUGUUUGUGGCAUCAGAACAGCUUUUAAAUGUUCUCU
Pelodiscus sinensis (Chinese soft-shelled turtle) is the source of this 4120-nucleotide non-coding RNA. NCBI's taxonomy places the organism in Eukaryota, Metazoa, Chordata, Testudines, Trionychidae. The record is from RefSeq and is a predicted model, not a curated record.